CCUACGGGUGGCAGCAGUGGGGAAUAUUGGGCAAUGGGCGCAAGCCUGACCCAGCAACGCCGCGUGCAGGAAGAAGGCUUUCGGGUUGUAAACUUCUUUUCUGGGGGACGAACAAAUGACGGUACCCCAGGAAUAAGCCACGGCUAACUACGUGCCAGCAGCCGCGGUAAUACGUAGGUGGCAAGCGUUAUCCGGAUUUAUUGGGUGUAAAGGGCGGGUAGGCGGGAAUGCAAGUCAGAGGUGAAAACUAUGGGAGCAAACCAUAGCCUGCAUUUGAAACUGGAUGUCUUGAGUGCUGGAGAGGCAGGCGGAAUUCCGGGUGUAGCGGUGAAAUGCGUAGAUAUACGGAGGAACACCGGUGGCGAAGGCGGAUUGCUGGACAGUAACUGACGCUGAGGCGCGAAAGCGUGGGGAGCAAACAGGAUUAGAUACCCGUGUAGUC
Molecule: ribosomal RNA, 442 nt
Filed under: uncultured bacterium
Lineage: Bacteria
Description: partial 16S ribosomal RNA
Rfam family: Bacterial small subunit ribosomal RNA
Source: RNAcentral